RNAcentral lists this ribosomal RNA (230 nucleotides) under Oecismus monedula. Its description in RNAcentral is "partial 18S ribosomal RNA". It matches the Rfam family "Eukaryotic small subunit ribosomal RNA", at positions 847 to 1074 of the family's 1831-position model. The record is from RNAcentral. Lineage: Eukaryota; Metazoa; Arthropoda; Insecta; Trichoptera; Sericostomatidae.
UUUCUGAUACCAGAGGUAAUGAUUAAUAGGGACAACUGGGGGCAUUCGUAUUGCGACGUUAGAGGUGAAAUUCUUGGAUCGUCGCAAGACGGACUAAAGCGAAAGCAUUUGCCAAAGGUGUUUUCAUUAAUCAAGAACGAAAGUUAGAGGUUCGAAGGCGAUUAGAUACCGCUGUAGUUCUAACCAUAAAUGAUGCCAGCCAGCGAUCCGCCGAAGUUUCAUAAUUUUAA